RNAcentral lists this ribosomal RNA (328 nucleotides) under uncultured Glomus. Its description in RNAcentral is "bacterial SSU rRNA". It matches the Rfam family "Eukaryotic small subunit ribosomal RNA", at positions 548 to 880 of the family's 1831-position model. Lineage: Eukaryota; Fungi; Glomeromycota; Glomeromycetes; Glomerales; Glomeraceae. The record is from RNAcentral.
UUGGAGGGCAAGUCUGGUGCCAGCAGCCGCGGUAAUUCCAGCUCCAAUAGCGUAUAUUAAAGUUGUUGCAGUUAAGAAGCUCGUAGUUGAAUUUCGGGAUCAAUUUAUUGGUCGUGCUAUUGUACGUACUGGUAUUAUUGAUUCCUACCUUCUGACGAACCAUGAUGUCAUUAAUUUGGUGUCUUGGGAAAUCAGGACUGUUACUUUAGAAAAAUUAGAGUGUUACAAAGCAGGCUCACGCUUGAAUACAUUAGCAUGGAAUAACGAAAUAGGACGUUUGAUUCUAUUUUGUUGGUUUCUAGGAUCGACGUAAUGAUUAAUAGGGAUA